Molecule: ribosomal RNA, 501 nt
Filed under: uncultured bacterium
Lineage: Bacteria
Description: partial 16S ribosomal RNA
Rfam family: Bacterial small subunit ribosomal RNA
Source: RNAcentral
AUUGAACGCUGGCGGCAGGCUUAACACAUGCAAGUCGAGCGGGGGAAGGUAGCUUGCUACCGGACCUAGCGGCGGACGGGUGAGUAAUGCUUAGGAAUCUGCCUAUUAGUGGGGGACAACAUCUCGAAAGGGAUGCUAAUACCGCAUACGCCCUACGGGGGAAAGCAGGGGAUCUUCGGACCUUGCGCUAAUAGAUGAGCCUAAGUCGGAUUAGCUAGUUGGUGGGGUAAGGGCCUACCAAGGCGACGAUCUGUAGCGGGUCUGAGAGGAUGAUCCGCCACACUGGGACUGAGACACGGCCCAGACUCCUACGGGAGGCAGCAGUGGGGAAUAUUGGACAAUGGGCGGAAGCCUGAUCCAGCCAUGCCGCGUGUGUGAAGAAGGCCUUUUGGUUGUAAAGCACUUUAAGCGAGGAGGAGGCUACUUAGAUUAAUACUCUGGGAUAGUGGACGUUACUCGCAGAAUAAGCACCGGCUAACUCUGUGCCAGCAGCCGCCGCCG